This 481-nucleotide ribosomal RNA is filed under the name uncultured bacterium. RNAcentral's name for it is "bacterial SSU rRNA". It matches the Rfam family "Bacterial small subunit ribosomal RNA", at positions 28 to 507 of the family's 1533-position model. The record is from RNAcentral.
GACGAACGCUGGCGGCGUGCCUAAUACAUGCAAGUCGAGCGGACCCUUCGGGGUCAGCGGCGGACGGGUGAGUAACACGUGGGUAAUCUGCCCAACUGACUGGAAUAACGCCUGGAAACGGGUGCUAAUGCCGGAUAGGCAGCGAGGAGGCAUCUCCUUGCUGGGAAAGGUGCAACUGCACCGCAGAUGGAGGAGCCCGCGGCGCAUUAGCUAGUUGGUGGGGUAACGGCCUACCAAGGCGACGAUGCGUAGCCGACCUGAGAGGGUGGACGGCCACACUGGGACUGAGACACGGCCCAGACUCCUACGGGAGGCAGCAGUAGGGAAUCUUCCGCAAUGGGCGCAAGCCUGACGGAGCAACGCCGCGUGAGCGAAGAAGGCCUUCGGGUUGUAAAGCUCAGUCACUCGGGAAGAGCGGACGGAGGAGUGGAAAGCCUUCGUCGAGACGGUACCGAGAGAGGAAGCCCCGGCUAACUACGUG